AACAAAAACCAAAAAACAAACAAACAAACAAACACCAGUACAACCCCAAAUAUAGACAAGCAGCUCUCUUUGUACCACUGGAGCUUGCUGUCACAGCUCAAGCAGAGGAAAUAGUAGAUUUGCCUGUGUACGUUCGGGGUUAUGCCAACUCAGUGACACUUGGUGUCUGUAAUACACGCAAAUCCUUAAUGUACACAAAAUCUUCCCUGCCUCCCCUAAUCAUAUGCAUCCUGCAAACAGGCCAGAACUCGUGGAUUAAAUCUACUGAGGCCCAAAAUAAAUUAAAUCUCCGAAUCACAGUAAGCUUGCAAGCCGCGGCCAUUCAAAUUGAAGUUUGUCAUUAUUUACGUCAAUUUUCCUGGCCUCCCACACAGCCUGCAAGUACCCAAUGUUCCUACAGCAACAGCAGAGCCCGUACUCUGUGUCCUGGUACUGCUGAGAAAGUUAGUUCUUUUAAAGACAACACAAAGUAAAAGAAAUGCCCUUCUUCUGAUGACUCUAGGGAAACACAAUAUACCCUCAGGGAUACGUUGCAUCCUCAGGAGGGAAUUACCGGGGUUCCUAACUCCCGAUGGCUGGGGCAAUAAACAUUACACAAGCAACUGUUUGCUCAGGGAGCAUUUUUUCCCCAGCAAUCCGGCAAUUCCCCAGCACACCUCCCACAGCAGCUGGCCGGGCACCUUCUGCGGCCCAGGCAGGUAUGGCCCAAGCCUCACAAACCGAUGCUCGGCCCUACAGUGGGCACGAGCUCAGGAUCAAAGCCGUGACGUGGGAGCCUGAAGACAUCCCAAUUGCCCAUCCACUUUGCUCGCCCCUUCUCCUCUUCCCCUCCGCAGGGGCACCACUGGGGCCAGGGGAUCGCACCGCCGCGGCCGCCGGCCUGUCACACCUGGCUUUUCUCCUCCUGCUUGGGGCUCUGGGCCGACGACGAGGAUGGUGGCGGCGGUGGAGGUGGCGGCGCGGCCUGCGGCUCGCUCUCGGCACGCUGGUGCCUGCUGACGAGCGACUUGAGGGGCGCCAUCCACUUCAUCCAGAGGUCCAGGUCGACGUCGCCCCACGGCAGGUUGGGGUCCUUGGCCGCCCGCCGCCGAAAGUCCUCGUCGUAGCUCAUCCACGAGGUGCCCCCGUAGGUGGCGUGCAGCUUGCGGAUGGUGUCCAGGUACUUGAACAUGGCCCCGCAGCGCGCCGGGUGCUUCUCGCACACCACGCUGGCGUACACCAGAAAGGCGGAGACCCACUGGUCCAGCGUGUCCCCCGGCCGCGGGCCGUGCUCGGGGGCCAGCUCUGA
RNAcentral lists this long non-coding RNA (1288 nucleotides) under Anser cygnoides (Swan goose). Its description in RNAcentral is "lncRNA (ENSACDG00005001779.1)". The record is from RNAcentral. Lineage: Eukaryota; Metazoa; Chordata; Aves; Anseriformes; Anatidae.